AAUUCUCAACCUUUCGAGCUUUUUCUUUAAGAAGCUUUUGAAGGGCUUGGACUUGGGUGUUUUGCUGGUUCUGGCGAAUCAGCUCACCUUAAAUGUAUUAGCAAGAUAAAUCGCUGAAUCAUCUUUGAUAUGAUAAUUAUCUAUGUCAUUGACGACACAGUGCUUUUCCCGUCCAGGGGAAGGAUCUGGCUUCUAAUUGUCUUUUAAGACAACCUUAUGAAAU
Molecule: unclassified non-coding RNA, 223 nt
Filed under: uncultured Entoloma
Lineage: Eukaryota; Fungi; Basidiomycota; Agaricomycetes; Agaricales; Entolomataceae
Description: sequence contains ITS2
Source: RNAcentral